CUUCUUAAUUAAUAGGAUCGCAGGCUCCACCAGAGCAAUCAGAAGCUACAACCUCUCCAAUGAGCUUGAACUCCUGCAGCUCCUUGAAGUUCAACCAUGGCUUCACCCAAACCUUGGCUUCGUACACUUUCUCCUUCUCACCAUCCAUGGCCUCUAAGCAAAACGACCAAGGCUCUCAGUCGUAGCACUAUUCUGGCUUUCUUCCACUGUGCUGAUCCCUCCCAACAUUUUCUUGCUCUCUUUUUUCCUUUAAUUUUGUGAUGUACAACAUGCAAUUUGGUCAAAUUAGUUGCGCGUGGAAAAUAAAAACUGUGUACGGCCUUAGUAUUGGAAUUUUUGGUUUAUUUGGUUGCGUAGUCUUUCAUUGUCUUCUGGUCUAAGUUAUACUUAAAGAGAAUGUUACUUUUUAUAUUAGAAUUAGUGUACGAAUUUGUAAACAUCUACUCUAUAAUAAUUGAUUAGAUUCACAGUUUUAA
This is a long non-coding RNA of Arachis stenosperma, 476 nucleotides long. RefSeq lists it as uncharacterized. The transcript is spliced from 2 exons. The record is from RefSeq and is a predicted model, not a curated record. Lineage: Eukaryota; Viridiplantae; Streptophyta; Magnoliopsida; Fabales; Fabaceae.